UUGAACGCUGGCGGCAGGCCUCACACAUGCAAGUCGAACGGUAACAGGAAGAAGCUUGCUUCUUUGCUGACGAGUGGCGGACGGGUGAGUAAUGUCUGGGAAACUGCCUGAUGGAGGGGGAUAACUACUGGAAACGGUAGCUAAUACCGCAUAACGUCGCAAGACCAAAAAGGGGGACCUUCGGGCCUCUUGCCAUCGGAUGUGCCCAGAUGGGAUUAGCUAGUAGGUGGGGUAACGGCUCACCUAGGCGACGAUCCCUAGCUGGUCUGAGAGGAUGACCAGCCACACUGGAACUGAGACACGGUCCAGACUCCUACGGGAGGCAACAGUGGGGAAUAUUGCACAAUGGGCGCAAGCCUGAUGCAGCCAUGCCGCGUGUAUGAAGAAGGCCUUCGGGUUGUAAAGUACUUUCAGCGGGGAGGAAGGGAGUAAAGUUAAUACCUUUGCUCAUUGACGUUACCCGCAGAAGAAGCACCGGCUAACUCCGUG
This 489-nucleotide ribosomal RNA is filed under the name uncultured bacterium. Its description in RNAcentral is "partial 16S ribosomal RNA". It matches the Rfam family "Bacterial small subunit ribosomal RNA", at positions 30 to 507 of the family's 1533-position model. The record is from RNAcentral.